CCUACGGGGGGCAGCAGUGGGGAAUAUUGCACAAUGGGGGAAACCCUGAUGCAGCAACGCCGCGUGAAGGAAGACGGUUUUCGGAUUGUAAACUUCUAUCAAUAGGGAAGAAAGAAAUGACGGUACCUAAAUAGGAAGCCCCGGCUAACUAUGUGCCAGCAGCCGCGGUAAUACAUAGGGAGCAAGCGUUAUCCGGAUUUAUUGGGUGUAAAGGGUGCGUAGACGGGAAAUUAAGUUAGUUGUGAAAUCCCUCGGCUUAACUGAGGAACUGCACCUAAAACUGAUUUUCUUGAGUACUGGAGAGG
This 305-nucleotide ribosomal RNA is filed under the name uncultured bacterium. Its description in RNAcentral is "bacterial SSU rRNA". It matches the Rfam family "Bacterial small subunit ribosomal RNA", at positions 338 to 657 of the family's 1533-position model. The record is from RNAcentral.